Long non-coding RNA from Gopherus flavomarginatus (Mexican gopher tortoise), 223 nucleotides. RefSeq lists it as uncharacterized. The record is from RefSeq and is a predicted model, not a curated record. NCBI's taxonomy places the organism in Eukaryota, Metazoa, Chordata, Testudines, Testudinidae. The transcript has 3 exons.
GAUUUGUCUAGUCCAGGAUUCCGGCUCUGAUGGGAGAAAAUACCAGGUACUAAAGGACCUAAUCAUAAGAACCAAUGGCUGGAAACUGAAGCCAGACAAAUUCUUAUGAGACAUAAGGCGCACAUUUUUAACAGCAAAGAUGAUUAAGCAUUAAAACAAACUGCUAAGAAUCUUCAGCGAAACCUAACCUGAGCUCUGAACAAAGAGAGACAUCCCUCCCAAG